ACCUUGUUGGCAUCCAUCGAUCCCUCUCUAUUUCUCUCACCUCACUUCCACGCGUGUGGUAGCACCAGGCCCUUGCUGUGCAACCCGUGAAUCUGUCUAUCGCUCCUCUGCCUCUCCUCUAUGCGCUCUCAAGCACACGGACAUGGAGCCCAACGGACCGGAUCCAGCCUGCCUGUCGCCUCCACCACCGGGAACAAUGGCAACCUCCGCCGAGAUCUAGGUGGGGAGGCCAAGGUUCUCAACGACACGUGCUCCUUCCCCAGGCCUCCGACGAGAGGUGGUCACGCCCUCCUCCUGCGUGGGGAUCGCGCCGGCUCCUUCUCAUCCCGCCGCGCAUUGCUCCUUCAUGGGCUCGUCUGCCACAGGCUGCUCCUGCUGUCCUCCUUUCCUCCUCUUUUACGCAGCCGAGGCAGACGACGAGCUGCAAGACCUUCACAAGCAUAUGGAGCAAGCAUGGAGCCGUGGAUGGACGAGGUCCUUGGCUCCCAUUCCUCCUUGUCGUCUCAUCGCCAGUGUCAAUGGAUCCUCUCUGGUGUAGGAGGAAAAACAAACCGGCGUUGGAAGUGUGAUGUUACCACAUGGCACGCCGUGUUAUUCAUUCAGGUGCAAGCACGUCUGCAUCUUCUUCAUACCUUUUGUUCGGCUCUUGGUUAGUACACUAGUAUACGGAAGUACUAGUGUUUUGUUUCCACGCCUCUGACUUAGUGCAGGUCACACUUUUGAAACAUUUUUGUAAAUAAAUAUUUGAUCAAACUUUGUGGUUGACUUAGAGUUAUUCUUGUAAAUUCAGUAUUUAAUCCCAUCAUUUAAACUAAAUAAACGUAUAUUUUCUGGCUU
This is a long non-coding RNA of Triticum dicoccoides, 837 nucleotides long. RefSeq lists it as uncharacterized. NCBI's taxonomy places the organism in Eukaryota, Viridiplantae, Streptophyta, Magnoliopsida, Poales, Poaceae. The transcript is spliced from 2 exons. The record is from RefSeq and is a predicted model, not a curated record.